GAUUGGAUACUCCCCGGCCAAUGGAAACCAUGACAACGGCUCCUUAGAUCAGUCGGUUUUGAGAGCAAAAGCUGAAGAAUUACCAGGACUGGCUCAAAAACUGGUGACCAGUUUGAAAAAUAACAUGCUCAUCGACUUUCAGAAGGAUUGGAAGCUGAUCACAGUUUACCUCGGCGUUGCUGAUAUGUGCACCUAUUG
Molecule: long non-coding RNA, 198 nt
Organism: Carcharodon carcharias (great white shark)
Lineage: Eukaryota; Metazoa; Chordata; Chondrichthyes; Lamniformes; Lamnidae
Exons: 3
Source: RefSeq, a predicted model, not a curated record